Molecule: ribosomal RNA, 301 nt
Filed under: uncultured bacterium
Lineage: Bacteria
Description: partial 16S ribosomal RNA
Rfam family: Bacterial small subunit ribosomal RNA
Source: RNAcentral
CAGUAGCCGCGGGAAUACGUAGGGUGCGAGCGUUAAUCGGAAUUACUGGGCGUAAAGCGUGCGCAGGCGGUUUUGUAAGACAGGCGUGAAAUCCCCGGGCUCAACCUGGGAAUGGCGCUUGUGACUGCAAAGCUAGAGUGCGGCAGAGGGGGAUGGAAUUCCGCGUGUAGCAGUGAAAUGCGUAGAUAUGCGGAGGAACACCGAUGGCGAAGGCAAUCCCCUGGGCCUGCACUGACGCUCAUGCACGAAAGCGUGGGGAGCAAACAGGAUUAGAUACCCCAGUAGUCCCUGUCUCUUAUAA